AAUAAGUUUAGAUGGACUAAUCUAAAACUGUAAUUUUGAAACAAUAUUAAACAGAAGCUUACUGGUAAUAGAGAGAACAAGUGGAGAAGGAAAUGAAGGUGGAAAAAGCAGCCAUACAGGGUGAGAUAGGCACGGAGUGAAACGUUUGGGUAAACUUGGAGAUUCAGAGGGAAAGUGGACUCAAUUCCGUGGGAAGGAAUACCUGAGUGACACUGCUAGUUAGAUGCCUUAAAAACGUCCUUAGUGCUGGGGAAGCAGGAAUGCUGUUGCUAGGUGAGCAUCUCUGAAGGCAGAGAAGGCCAGACCUUAAAUGUUACAAGCCACACCACACCAAAUAAGUCAUAUGCUGAUUAGGUCAUGGACAAACAGUUUUUUGGCUGUGACUUUGGCUCUGCUAAGAGGUUGGAUACUCUUCUGGUCCUGGUCUGUAGUAGCUAUUGAUGGAAGAAGACUGGCUGUUCCUGGGAACCUGCUCCAUCAGUCCCUCAAAGCAUUCUCCAGCAAGAAUCAAAUGCUAUGGAAAGAACCAGUAUACCUCUUCCUUGCAUCUUUUACAUGA
This 559-nucleotide long non-coding RNA is filed under the name Phasianus colchicus (ring-necked pheasant). RNAcentral describes it as "lncRNA (ENSPCLG00000011338.1)". Lineage: Eukaryota; Metazoa; Chordata; Aves; Galliformes; Phasianidae. The record is from RNAcentral.